Molecule: non-coding RNA, 474 nt
Organism: Pelobates cultripes (western spadefoot toad)
Lineage: Eukaryota; Metazoa; Chordata; Amphibia; Anura; Pelobatidae
Source: the annotation of a GenBank genome assembly
CUACCUUAUUAGAUCUUAGUGGCCAAGCCUUAGUUGAUCCCAGGAUCAUUAAACAUCCCGCUCGAGUGAGUUAGUCCCAUCAGACCAUAUUCUGCAGAAUGUGGCUCUGCAAGCCUCUUGAAAAGGAGAUUCGGAAUAAGAUGAUAGCAGAAUGUCCACAUCCAACAAUACCUGACAAGAUGGCACUCACGCCUGAAUUUGAUCCUCUCCUGAUCACCUUUCUAAGCAAGUUGGGUAAAGACCCCCGCAAAGUCCUUAAACAGGGUCUUAAAGUAGUUCAGGACAAGUUGCUUGACAUCGCUGGCCCAAUUAUACAAAUCUUUAUUCUUGCUGAUGAAGCUCUAACAGACGGUACCUUGGAUCCACAUUUGGUACGAGUAUGGGCACAAAGGGCCUUAUGUUUACUUGGCAAUGCUAAUGUAACUAUUUCAACUGAACGACGCAAAGCUGUCUUAUAUAAGAUUGACGCAAAAU